This 253-nucleotide ribosomal RNA is filed under the name uncultured bacterium. Its description in RNAcentral is "partial 16S ribosomal RNA". It matches the Rfam family "Bacterial small subunit ribosomal RNA", at positions 524 to 776 of the family's 1533-position model. The record is from RNAcentral.
UACGUAGGGUGCAAGCGUUGUCCGGAAUUAUUGGGCGUAAAGAGCUCGUAGGCGGUCUGUCGCGUCGGCUGUGAAAACCUGGGGCUCAACUCCGGAUCUGCGGUGGGUACGGGCAGACUAGAGUGCAGUAGGGGAGACUGGAAUUCCUGGUGUAGCGGUGAAAUGCGCAGAUAUCAGGAGGAACACCGAUGGCGAAGGCAGGUCUCUGGGCUGUAACUGACGCUGAGGAGCGAAAGCAUGGGGAGCGAACAGG